UGGGGAAUAUUGCACAAUGGAGGAAACUCUGAUGCAGCGACGCCGCGUGAGUGAAGAAGUAUUUUCGGUAUGUAAAGCUCUAUCAGCAGGGAAGAAAAUGACGGUACCUGACUAAGAAGCACCGGCUAAAUACGUGCC
RNAcentral lists this ribosomal RNA (138 nucleotides) under uncultured bacterium. Its description in RNAcentral is "partial 16S ribosomal RNA". It matches the Rfam family "Bacterial small subunit ribosomal RNA", at positions 355 to 509 of the family's 1533-position model. The record is from RNAcentral.